RNAcentral lists this unclassified non-coding RNA (350 nucleotides) under Athalia rosae (coleseed sawfly). Its description in RNAcentral is "misc RNA ENSAEAG00005002438.1". Lineage: Eukaryota; Metazoa; Arthropoda; Insecta; Hymenoptera; Athaliidae. The record is from RNAcentral.
GUGAAAUAUAAUAGUGUAGUGCAAGGGGCUCUAUUCGUGUCUCUGUGUGUGCGGAGAGUUUCUCAUGCUUGAGCUUGGCCCGAGGCUACGAGGAAGUAGGGGAAGAUCCAAUUCGGAAAAAAAAAUUGGUGUGAACAAGACUAGAAUGGGGUUCGAGUGAAGGAAGGCCUGUUCCGAAAAUUGAUCUUCAGGUGGAUGUGUUCCAAGGCGGUAUACAGGUAUUUCUGAGCCUACAACAUUGUACCCCCGCAUAUACAUGUAUGUACUGCACACCCACAUCGGGAUCUCUUCUUCGCCGAGGCCCGGGGCUUCGACGCUCGAAACGAAAUCGCCUGAUGCAAUUCGCUGCA